RNAcentral lists this ribosomal RNA (333 nucleotides) under uncultured Leptolinea sp. Its description in RNAcentral is "bacterial SSU rRNA". It matches the Rfam family "Bacterial small subunit ribosomal RNA", at positions 1034 to 1382 of the family's 1533-position model. Lineage: Bacteria; Bacillati; Chloroflexota; Anaerolineae; Anaerolineales; Anaerolineaceae. The record is from RNAcentral.
ACAGGUGCUGCAUGGCUGUCGUCAGCUCGUGUCGUGAGAUGUCGGUAAGUCCGCUAACGAGACCGCAACCCUCACUGUGUGUUAUAUGUGUCACACGGGACUGCCGGUUUUAAGCCGGAGGAAGGCGGGAUGACGUCAAGUCAGCAUGGCCUUUAUAUCCUGGGCUACACACACGCUACAAUGGCCAACACAAUAGGUUGCUAAGCCGCGAGGUGGCGCCAAUCCAUAAAGUUGGUCUCAGUUCAGAUUGUAGGCUGCAACCCGCCUGCAUGAAGAUGGAGUUGCUAGUAACCGCAGGUCAGCUAUACUGCGGUGAAUACGUUCCCGGGGCUU